Molecule: ribosomal RNA, 517 nt
Filed under: uncultured bacterium
Lineage: Bacteria
Description: bacterial SSU rRNA
Rfam family: Bacterial small subunit ribosomal RNA
Source: RNAcentral
AGAGUUUGAUUAUGGCUCAGGAUGAACGCUAGCGACAGGCUAACACAUGCAAGUCGAGGGGCAGCAUAAAAGUAGCAAUACUUGGUGGCGACCGGCGCACGGGUGAGUAACGCGUAUGCAACCUACCUAUCAGAGGGGAAUAACCCGGCGAAAGUCGGACUAAUACCGCAUAAAACAGGGGCACCGCAUGGUGAUAUUUGUUAAAGAAAUUCGCUGAUAGAUGGGCAUGCGUUCCAUUAGGUAGUUGGUGAGGUAACGGCUCACCAAGCCGACGAUGGAUAGGGGAACUGAGAGGUUGGUCCCCCACACUGGUACUGAGACACGGACCAGACUCCUACGGGAGGCAGCAGUGAGGAAUAUUGGUCAAUGGGCGGGAGCCUGAACCAGCCAAGUCGCGUGAAAGGAAGAAGGAUCUAUGGUUCGUAAACUUCUUUUGCAGGGGAAUAAAGUGCAGGACGUGUCCUGUUUUGUAUGUACCCUGAGAAUAAGGAUCGGCUAACUCCGUGCCAGCAGCGGC